Molecule: ribosomal RNA, 259 nt
Filed under: uncultured prokaryote
Description: partial 16S ribosomal RNA
Rfam family: Bacterial small subunit ribosomal RNA
Source: RNAcentral
UACGUAGGUGGCAAGCGUUAUCCGGAAUUAUUGGGCGUAAAGAGCGCGCAGGUGAUUGAUUAAGUCUGAUGUGAAAGCCCACGGCUUAACCGUGGAGGGUCAUUGGAAACUGGUCGACUUGAGUGCAGAAGAGGGAAGUGGAAUUCCAUGUGUAGCGGUGAAAUGCGUAGAGAUAUGGAGGAACACCAGUGGCGAAGGCGGCUUCCUGGUCUGUAACUGACACUGAGGCGCGAAAGCGUAGGGAGCAAACAGGAUUAGA